UUCAGUACUCUGUCCCCGGGUCAGAACUCUGCUGCCUCCUGGUCUGUACCCUGUCCCCGGGUCAGAAUUCUGCUGCCUCCUGGUCUGUACCCUGUCCCCGGGUCAGAACUCCGCUGCCUCCUGGUCUGUACCCUGUCCCCGGGUCAGAACUCUGCUGCCUCCUGGUCUGUACCCUGUCCCCGGGUCAGAACUCUGCUGCCUCCUGGUCUGUACCCUGUCCCUGGGUCAGAACUCUGCUGCCUCCUGGUCUGUACCCUGUCCCCGGGUCAGAACUCCGCUGCCUCCUGGUCUGUACCCUGUCCCCGGGUCAGACCUCUGCUGCCUCCUGGUCUGUACCCUGUUCCCGGGUCAGAACUCUGUUGCCUCCUGGUCUGUACCCUGUCCCCGGGUCAGAACUCUGCUGCCUCCUGGUCUGUACCCUGUCCCCGGGUCAGAACUCCGCUGCCUCCUGGUCUGUACCCUGUCCCCGGGUCAGAACUCUGCUGCCUCCUGGUCUGUACCCUGUCCCCGGGUCAGACCUCUGCUGCCUCCUGGUCUGUACCCUGUUCCCGGGUCAGAACUCUGUUGCCUCCUGGUCUGUACCCUGUCCCCGGGUCAGAACUCUGCUGCCUCCUGGUCUGUACCCUGUCCCCGGGUCAGAACUCUGUUGCUUCCUGGUCUGUACCCUGUCCCCGGGUCAGAACUACAAAUCCCAGUUGCUAUGUCCAAAACAACAGAACUAACCCGGUGACUGGUUGCUAUGUCCAAAACAACAGAACUAACCCGGUGACUGGUUGCUAUGUCCAAAACAACAGAACCAACCCGGUGACUGGUUGCUAUGUCCAAAACAACAGAACUAACCCGGUGACUGGUUGCUAUGUCCAAAACAACAGAACUAACCCGGUGACUGGUUGCUAUGUCCAAAACAACAGAACCAACCCGGUGACUGGUUGCUAUGUCCAAAACAACAGAACUAACCCGGUGACUGGUUGCUAUGUCCAAUACAACAGAACUAACCCGGUGACUGGUUGCUACGUCCAAAACAACAGA
Molecule: long non-coding RNA, 1029 nt
Filed under: Salmo trutta (river trout)
Lineage: Eukaryota; Metazoa; Chordata; Actinopteri; Salmoniformes; Salmonidae
Description: lncRNA (ENSSTUG00000036919.1)
Source: RNAcentral